RNAcentral lists this ribosomal RNA (403 nucleotides) under uncultured bacterium. Its description in RNAcentral is "bacterial SSU rRNA". It matches the Rfam family "Bacterial small subunit ribosomal RNA", at positions 356 to 773 of the family's 1533-position model. The record is from RNAcentral.
AGGGAAUAUUGCACAAUGGAGGAAACUCUGAUGCAGCGACGCCGCGUGAGUGAUGAAGGCCCUCGGGUCGUAAAGCUCUGUUCUCAGGGACUAAGAAAGUGAAUGUACCUGAGAAGAAAGGACCGGCUAACUUCGUGCCAGCAGCCGCGGUAAGACGAGGGGUCCUAGCGUUGUUCGGAAUUAUUGGGCGUAAAGCGGGUGUAGGUGGCAUGGUAAGUCAGAUGUGAAAGCCCUGGGCUCAACCCAGGAAGCGCAUUUGAAACUGCUUUGCUUGAGUGUGGCAGAGGAUAGUGGAAUUCCUGGUGUAGUGGUGAAAUACGUAGAUAUCAGGAGGAACAUCGGUGGGGAAGCCGGCUAUCUGGGCCAACACUGACACUCAGACCCGAAAGCGUGGGGAUCAAAC